This 443-nucleotide ribosomal RNA is filed under the name uncultured bacterium. RNAcentral's name for it is "partial 16S ribosomal RNA". It matches the Rfam family "Bacterial small subunit ribosomal RNA", at positions 338 to 795 of the family's 1533-position model. The record is from RNAcentral.
CCUACGGGGUGCUGCAGUGGGGAAUAUUGGACAAUGGGGGGAACCCUGAUCCAGCGACGCCGCGUGAGUGAAGAAGUAUUUCGGUAUGUAAAGCUCUAUCAGCAGGGAAGAAAGAAAUGACGGUACCUGACUAAGAAGCCCCGGCGAACUACGUGCCAGCAGCCGCGGUACUACGUAGGGGGCAAGCGUUAUCCGGAUUUACUGGGUGUAAAGGGAGCGUAGACGGCGAUGCAAGUCUGAAGUGAAAGGCGGGGGCCCAACCCCCGGACUGCUUUGGAAACUGGAUGGCUGGAGUGCAGGAGAGGUAAGUGGAAUUCCUGGUGUAGCGGUGAAAUGCGUAGAUAUUAGGAGGAACACCAGUGGCGAAGGCGGCUUACUGGACUGUAACUGACGUUGAGGCUCGAAAGCGUGGGGAGCAAACAGGAUUAGAUACCCUUGUAGUC